GGGAUUGCCCUAGUAACGGCGAGUGAAGCGGCAACAGCUCAAAUUUGAAAUCUGGCUCUCGGGCCCGAGUUGUAAUUUGUAGAGGAUACUUUUGAUGCGGUGCCUUCCGAGUUCCCUGGAACGGGACGCCAUAGAGGGUGAGAGCCCCGUCUGGUUGGAUGCCAAAUCUCUGUAAAGUUCCUUCGACGAGUCGAGUAGUUUGGGAAUGCUGCUCUAAAUGGGAGGUAUAUGUCUUCUAAAGCUAAAUACCGGCCAGAGACCGAUAGCGCACAAGUAGAGUGAUCGAAAGAUGAAAAGCACUUUGAAAAGAGAGUUAAAAAGUACGUGAAAUUGUUGAAAGGGAAGCGUUUAUGACCAGACUUGGGCUUGGUUAAUCAUCUGGGGUUCUCCCCAGUGCACUUUUCCAGUCCAGGCCAGCAUCAGUUUUCCCCGGGGGAUAAAGACUUCGGGAAUGUGGCUCUCUUCGGGGAGUGUUAUAGCCCGUUGUGUAAUACCCUGGGGGGGACUGAGGUUCGCGCAUCUGCAAGGAUGCUGGCGUAAUGGUCAUCAACGACCCGUCUUGAAACACGGACCAAGGAGUCGUCUUCGUAUGCGAGUGUUCGGGUGUCAAACCCCUACGCGUAAUGAAAGUGAACGCAGGUGAGAGCUUCGGCGCAUCAUCGACCGAUCCUGAUGUUCUCGGAUGGAUUUGAGUAAGAGCAUACGGGGCCGGACCCGAAAGAAGGUGAACUAUGCCUGUAUAGGGUGAAGCCAGAGGAAACUCUGGUGGAGGCUCGCAGCGGUUCUGACGUGCAAAUCGAUCGUCAAAUAUGGGCAUGGGGGCGAAAGACUAAUCGAACCUUCUAGUAGCUGGUUUCCGCCGAAGUUUCCCUCAGGAUAGCAGUGUUGAACUCAGUUUUAUGAGGUAAAGCGAAUGAUUAGGGACUCGGGGGCGCUAUUUAGCCUUCAUCCAUUCUCAAACUUUAAAUAUGUAAGAAGCUCUUGUUGCUUAAUUGAACGUGAGCAUUCGAAUGUAUCAACACUAGUGGGCCAUUUUUGGUAAGCAGAACUGGCGAUGCGGGAUGAACCGAACGCGAGGUUAAGGUGCCAGAGUAGACGCUCAUCAGACACCACAAAAGGUGUUAGUACAUCUUGACAGCAGGACGGUGGCCAUGGAAGUCGGAAUCCGCUAAGGACUGUGUAACAACUCACCUGCCGAAUGUACUAGCCCUGAAAAUGGAUGGCGCUCAAGCGUCUCACCCAUACCUCGCCCUCAGGGUAGAAACGAUGCCCUGAGGAGUAGGCGGACGUGGAGGUCAGUGACGAAGCCUAGGGC
RNAcentral lists this ribosomal RNA (1315 nucleotides) under Fusarium fujikuroi. RNAcentral describes it as "partial large subunit ribosomal RNA". It matches the Rfam family "Eukaryotic large subunit ribosomal RNA", at positions 71 to 1416 of the family's 3401-position model. The record is from RNAcentral. Lineage: Eukaryota; Fungi; Ascomycota; Sordariomycetes; Hypocreales; Nectriaceae.